GACUCAGUAGUUCAGUUGGUUAGAAUGUCGGCCUGUCACGUCGAAGAUCGAGGGUUCAAGUCCCUUCUGAGUCGCCA
RNAcentral lists this transfer RNA (77 nucleotides) under Caudoviricetes sp. RNAcentral describes it as "tRNA-Asp". It matches the Rfam family "tRNA". Rfam says of the family: Transfer RNA (tRNA) molecules are approximately 80 nucleotides in length. Their secondary structure includes four short double-helical elements and three loops (D, anti-codon, and T loops). Further hydrogen bonds mediate the characteristic L-shaped molecular structure. tRNAs have two regions of fundamental functional importance: the anti-codon, which is responsible for specific mRNA codon recognition, and the 3' end, to which the tRNAs corresponding amino acid is attached (by aminoacyl-tRNA synthetases). tRNAs cope with the degeneracy of the genetic code in two manners: having more than one tRNA (with a specific anti-codon) for a particular amino acid; and 'wobble' base-pairing, i.e. permitting non-standard base-pairing at the 3rd anti-codon position. Lineage: Duplodnaviria; Heunggongvirae; Uroviricota; Caudoviricetes. The record is from RNAcentral.